Molecule: long non-coding RNA, 2120 nt
Organism: Mastomys coucha (southern multimammate mouse)
Lineage: Eukaryota; Metazoa; Chordata; Mammalia; Rodentia; Muridae
Exons: 3
Source: RefSeq, a predicted model, not a curated record
CCCGGCUCUUUUUACUAAGUUUUUUUUACCUCCUUUAGGGAGGGCUGGUUUUGCCCUGGAUCGAAGCUUCUAGUAAAAUCUAGGUUAGAACGGCUCGGAGCAGCCGCUGCGCGCUCGCCAGCCUCCCAGCACCCUUGUCCCGGGCCGGCCUGGCGGGCACCUGGCCUACUGCCGGCAGCCCACCUCCUUGAGCCGACCCGCUUCCUCUGUCCUCAGCACUGGCCCAGUCACCUCCGGCCUCCCUUGCGCUCCCCGGCCCCCUCCCGCCACUGUCGGUGCAAAGUGACAGUCGCUGCACUCACCUUUUCUAGGACAUGGUAGGGAGGCUGGGGCGGGGGAGGGGGCCAGCGAGACUCCCGCCGUCUCCGCCGCUGCCGCCGCCACCAGCAAGUCCAAUACCCGCUGAUCGGCAAUGAGGAUGGAGAGGAUAGCAAUCCUGGCAGUCGCCCUACUGACGCUGAAGAUUGGCAAGGAAGGAAUCCAUCCUCACAGAUCUUCAACGCUGCUAAUGUCUGAGUAGCACUAACCAACCUAAGUGCCGUGGAGACAAUCAAGGCAGAGAUGUCUCUGCUUCUAAGAGUCACAACAUACAACACGACCGCUGACCUCCUCAUUAGAUGUCUUCAAAUCCAGGGGAAGAGACCUGUGAGUUAUAAUUAGAGUAAAAUCCCAGCUGUCCUGGAGGCCACAGUGAUGAAAGGAAUCAACAACAGCUUUACAAGAUGCACAUCUCUACAUUUGGACUAGUACUAGCUCCUGAAAGUAGUAAUUAGGUGGCAUACUAGUUACUCUUCUCAUUGUGGCUAUGAAGGACCUGACAAAACCAUCGUAUGGAAAGAAUGUUUACCUUGGUGUUUAUCAUGGUGGGGACAACAUGGCAACAGGAGCCUGGAGCAGUUGGUUCCAUUGUAUCUGCAGUCAGGGAGCCAAGAACUACAGCCCAUGGGAUGGUGCACCCAUGCUUAGAGUGAUGUUUUCUACGUCAGUUAAGACGAUCAUUUCAGCAAGGAAGCUGCCUUAAAUUGUCCUUAGUAUACAUAGUCUUUAUUUAUCAAGCUUAGUCACUCUGCUUAGCAUUUCUAUCUCACUAUAGCAACACCCGACCCCCACCCCCCAAUCAAAGAUAGAAUUCAUUCUUUCAAUUUCCCAGGUUAAACCUCAGCCCAUUUCAUGAUUCCUGCUUAAUAUCCACGACCCACCUGAGGCCUCCUUAAAAUGUAUGCUGGUUUUUGUUUUUUUUGUUUGUUUUUUUGUUUUUUUGCUUUACUUUCUACAUGAUGGGUAAGGGGGAAUCUUCUUUUAAAGAAUUACAUGUUCAAAAUUAAACAUAGACAUUAUUAUUUAUUUUUAUUGGGGAAAAAAGGGAUGAAAGCUGCCAGAUCUCACAAAUGUUAGAAAUUUCAUAAAAUUCCUGGAGUGGUUUUAUGACUUCACUGUCCAAUAUACAGUAGCAUCCUUUCUAGGCUGCACAGUUAUUGAUGAUCUCCUGUAAGUCAAACUUUACAUUUUUUUCUAGAAAGAUUAGAAAGCCAACCGACUCACUCUCUGCUCCAACUUGGUGGACUGACAUUUGAAAAAUAUUAAUAGUUUAGAAAAGUUGGAUGUAGCAUCAAAGCUUAUUGUUGAUAAUGUCAUGUAAAUUGUUCUUAAAUUUUUUCAUAAACUGCUUUAGACCUACUGUAAGAUAGGACUAAAAGCUUGUGUUGUAUAAAUCUAGGCAUUCUGGUAAACUUUGUUUUCUAUAAUUCCAAGACAAAAAGAAACAGAAUAUGAUAUAUUGCAAUGUCGUAUUCUAGUUAUAAAGUGAUUGGUGCACUUGUUGAAUACAUUCUUGACAGAAUUUCUAUUCUGAUUCAACGAAAACUGGAUCCUCUACUUUCAGUUUGAUAUAUCUCAUAGAUGUUUUUAUGCAGUUUAUUCUAGCUCCAUGAAUUUCAAAACAAUUUCUCUUCAACUUUCAAUCACCUUUGUAACCUUGGCAUAAUAUAUCCAGUGGACCUGAAUCUUCAUGUAAGUUGGCACUAGGGCAAAACAGUAUUUUUUUUCUUGGGUAUUUUUUAUUUACAUUUCAAAUAUUAUCCCCUUUCCUGAUUUCCCUCCAGAAACCCCUAUCACAUCCU